This 252-nucleotide ribosomal RNA is filed under the name uncultured bacterium. Its description in RNAcentral is "partial 16S ribosomal RNA". It matches the Rfam family "Bacterial small subunit ribosomal RNA", at positions 524 to 776 of the family's 1533-position model. The record is from RNAcentral.
UACAGAGGUCCCAAGCGUUGUUCGGAUUCACUGGGCGUAAAGGGUGCGUAGGUGGUGAGGUAAGUCGGAUGUGAAAGCUCCGAGCUCAACUCGGAAAUGGCAUUGGAAACUACCUUGCUCGAGGUUGAGGGGGACUGGAAUACUUGGUGUAGCAGUGAAAUGCGUAGAUAUCAAGUAGAACACCAGUGGCGAAGGCGACUCUUUGGCCUGUAACUGACACUGAGGCGCGGAAAGCGAUGGGGAGCAAACAGG